Molecule: long non-coding RNA, 523 nt
Organism: Panicum virgatum (switchgrass)
Lineage: Eukaryota; Viridiplantae; Streptophyta; Magnoliopsida; Poales; Poaceae
Exons: 3
Source: RefSeq, a predicted model, not a curated record
UGCGAAUGUAGUAUGCUAGAACAGCAGCAGCGGCAGAUCCUGAUGAAACUCCAGGGUCAGGUGGGAUUAAAUCUUAUUAGCUCUAUUCUCCCUGUAUUUUUGUGUUAUUUUUCUUUUGAGAUUUAGGAGCACGGGCAGAUCUUGAUUAAACUAUAGAGCUAGGAGUUGCGUAAUUGGUUAGAGCUGAUUCAUCGAACGUACUCUGUACUUCAAUUGCAUUUGGGAUGGUUUGAACUUAUCCAAAUCAGUUACCACAAAGCACUGAAUGCUAGCAGAAUUAGCUUAUCUCUUAUUCUUUUGCUUCUUGAGGGCUUCACCUAGUUCUGAAGAACUGAACUAUUGAAUAAAGGUGCAUGCGUCAGUAUGGAGCAAACAAGCUCAUGGUUACAUAAUUCUUCUUCGCAAGUGGCAUGAAGUUCAAUGAUGCGUGUACUGCUUCUUCUAGUUGGCUUGGUAAUUGAGGAAUUGGUGAAGCAGCUUUAGUAUUAAAGUGUUUCUUUUCCAUAGACAUAUUCAUAUUGUA